Molecule: ribosomal RNA, 700 nt
Filed under: Actinomycetes bacterium
Lineage: Bacteria; Bacillati; Actinomycetota; Actinomycetes
Description: bacterial SSU rRNA
Rfam family: Bacterial small subunit ribosomal RNA
Source: RNAcentral
GGAUUAGUGGCGAACGGGUGAGUAACACGUGAGUAACCUGCCCUUGACUCUGGGAUAAGCCUGGGAAACUGGGUCUAAUACCGGAUAGGAACGUCCACCGCAUGGUGGUUGUUGGAAAGAUUUAUCGGUCAUGGAUGGACUCGCGGCCUAUCAGCUUGUUGGUGAGGUAAUGGCUCACCAAGGCGACGACGGGUAGCCGGCCUGAGAGGGUGACCGGCCACACUGGGACUGAGACACGGCCCAGACUCCUACGGGAGGCAGCAGUGGGGAAUAUUGCACAAUGGGCGAAAGCCUGAUGCAGCGACGCCGCGUGAGGGAUGACGGCCUUCGGGUUGUAAACCUCUUUCAGUAGGGAAGAAGCGAAAGUGACGGUACCUGCAGAAGAAGCACCGGCUAACUACGUGCCAGCAGCCGCGGUAAUACGUAGGGUGCGAGCGUUAUCCGGAAUUAUUGGGCGUAAAGAGCUCGUAGGCGGUUUGUCGCGUCUGUCGUGAAAGUCCGGGGCUUAACCCCGGAUCUGCGGUGGGUACGGGCAGACUAGAGUGCAGUAGGGGAGACUGGAAUUCCUGGUGUAGCGGUGGAAUGCGCAGAUAUCAGGAGGAACACCGAUGGCGAAGGCAGGUCUCUGGGCUGUAACUGACGCUGAGGAGCGAAAGCAUGGGGAGCGAACAGGAUUAGAUACCCUGGUAGUCCAUGCCGU